Diatrype stigma is the source of this 96-nucleotide non-coding RNA. Lineage: Eukaryota; Fungi; Ascomycota; Sordariomycetes; Xylariales; Diatrypaceae. The record is from the annotation of a GenBank genome assembly.
GCAUCAGUGGUUUAGUGGUAAAAUCCAUCGUUGCCAUUCUGUAGGGUCUCCUACAGCAGAGUCGAUGGGCCCCGCGUUCGAUUCGCGGCUGAUGCA